GAUGAACGCUGGCGGCGUGCCUAAUACAUGCAAGUCGAGCGAACGGACGAGAAGCUUGCUUCUCUGAUGUUAGCGGCGGACGGGUGAGUAACACGUGGAUAACCUACCUAUAAGACUGGGAUAACUUCGGGAAACCGGAGCUAAUACCGGAUAAUAUUUUGAACCGCAUGGUUCAAAAGUGAAAGACGGUCUUGCUGUCACGUAUAGAUGGAUACGCGCUGCAUUGGCUAGUUGGUAAGGUAACGGCUUACCAAGGCAACGAUGCAUAGCCGACCUGAGAGGGUGAUCGGCCACACUGGAACUGAGACACGGUCCAUACUCCUACGGGAGGCAGCAGUAGGGUAUCUUCCGCAAUGGGCGAAAGCCUGACGGAGCAACGCCGCGUGAGUGAUGAAGGUCUUCGGAUCGUAAAACUCUGUUAUUAGGGAAGAACAUAUGUGUAAGUAACUGUGCACAUCUUGACGGUACCUAAUCAGAAAGCCACGGCUAACUACGUG
This 497-nucleotide ribosomal RNA is filed under the name uncultured bacterium. RNAcentral describes it as "partial 16S ribosomal RNA". It matches the Rfam family "Bacterial small subunit ribosomal RNA", at positions 28 to 507 of the family's 1533-position model. The record is from RNAcentral.